CCGCCCCCGCGCCCCGCCGCCCGCCGCCGCCGCCAUCUUCGCCGCGCGUGCUGAGGGAUGACUCGCCCUGUUCUCCCCGGCUCGGUGCGGCCGAGGACACAGCCAGCUCAGCGCCGCACGGGAGGCUUCUCUGCAAAUCCGUGGCAAGGCUGGCAGUUAAUCCAUUUUGGUUAAGGAACGUGAAAUGCCAAACAAAAGCCUCACGAGAAGGGUGUGUUGUGCAGUCAUCGCUCAGACCCCAUAAAAUCACGUUAAUUGUAGUUGAGAGUGACACAAAGCUUUCAGCUGGGCAUCUUCAACAGCAACGACUUCAAGGCAUCAAUGCUGCAGAGACCCACAAUACUCAAAAAGACCCAAAUCCUCACUUUCUGCAGCUCGGUUUUCCCUGCUGCUCCUGCGUGUGCAAACAAUGGUUUUGUCCCCUUGGAAGUUCCCAGCAGGUUGCUGUGCAAAUUCGUUUAAUUCCUCUGGGUACAGGCACAAGAGGCUGCUGCCACUUGCAUAACCCGAGACAACAAACAAUAGAGGUGGAAAUCCAGCAGAGGCAGGUGUGAAACCUGCCCCCCGAGCUGCCUGCAGUGAAAGCAAGAGCUCUGUGCCACAACCUGCUGAAGCACCCUCGUUAUCCCACGGGAGGCAUUUGGCUCCCUGUGCACCUUGACAGAGACAAUAUUGCCCUCCUUACACUGCUAAAGGAUUAAGCAAUGCGUGAGAAUUAUCCAGCUAACGCUGAAAUUGUAUCCAGAUUAUUAAAAAAUUAAUCCUCCUGUUAGAACAGGGAGAAAGGUAAUGAACACGAGGAGCAGCCCAGGCCCAGUGUGGUGGAUUAGGGAAUGGCUGCACAGCUGAAUGUGCCAAUGUGCUGGAGAUAAGGGAGUGCUGCUGCCAGGGCCCGGCAGGGUGUGAGAGCAGACAAACUGGGUAGCUCCUCUCGGUGCCUCACACCCUCCUUUAUCAGCAAAGGGAAGCACAUAUUUGCAGAGCUUCCCCCACAGAAUCAUUCUUUCCCUUCCUUGAGUCUCGUUCUUCCUCCUCCUUGUCCAGGUCCUGUCUAGUUCAAGUCCAGCCUGGCCUAUCCCCUUGCUCUGUGCUGCUGCCUGCAGUGCCCUGAGGCAGCUCGGGUUGCUGCAAGGUGACCUGUCCUGCAUUACCUGGCUGUGCUGCUCAGCCUGUGAUCCCCCCCAGCUAAAGCUGAGCUCUCCAUGCCUCAAUGCCGAGUUUGCCAGGGCUGGAAGGGUUCUCUCUCUGUGCCACUUUGCCCAGCAGCCACGGCUCAAACGCCGAGGAACAUCGUGAGCUCAGGGCUGACAAACCCAUUUGGCAGAGCACGACUCUGUGCUUCCCUAAGUGCUCCCAAGCCCAGGCACACCAGGAGCUCUUCACACACCUCCAUCCUUGAAAGUCUUUGAAACAGCCUCCCUGGGGAAGUGGUGGAGUCACAAUCCCUUGAAGAGUUCAUAAAAUGAGUAGAUGUGGCACUUUGUGACACAAAUCAGUGGCAUGGGGGUAUUUGGUCAAAGGAUGGGCUUGAUCUCGGAAGUCUUUUCCAGUCUUAAUGGUCCCAUGAUUCUACCCCAGGUCACCCACCCAAGUCUGUCCAGACAGCCAGACAACCUCAUAAUUUCCAUGGUAAUUAGUAACCUUUGAUGAACUCUGUCACUCCUGCACAAGGAUGUUGUGCCCAGAUGAAAAACGGCUCCUGGUUUUCAUUCAGAGGAUCUCUGGGCUCCUUUUGUUAGACAAAAACCCAUCUAUUUUUAAUAAAAUACUUCAGAACUGGUUUUCUCCACUGUUCAGUGUCAGUCUGGAUAGUUCUCCCUGUAAAUCCCUCCCAGCCCAUGCCCUGCUGCCUUACUCAGUGUUAUUCUUGUACCCUGAGAGUCGAUACCCUGCCAAGUGAUAUUUGUUUAAAAUUCCCCAAUGCACAAAUUUGGCACAAAAACUGGACUAAAGGGCAUCCCUCUGGUUACUGCAGCUGGGUGGAAUCUUCCCACCUCAAAGUCCAAGAUCUAUUUACAUCAGCUCACUUAAGCUGCAAAAACAGAAUGAACUCUUCCUGCUAGGCUUGUCCAGACCAAUAAAUGCACUGGGGAGUGCAAAGCAGAAGUGCUGCACAAAGGAAUCAACUGCUGAAGGCACAAGCAGGUUUCCAGUUCGUUUUAAAACUGAUUCACUCAUAGCUGACGUCAAUCCUCCCUCCCAAGUAUCUGAGCCCUGAGAUUGGAGUGUGAUAAAUAUUACCUGUAAUGCCAUCUGCUGUACAGACUGCCCCAGCUCCUCACUAUUUAUUUAAGGGCUAAUCUUGUGCUAGAACAAAAUGCAGUUUAUUUCAGCCUGGUCUGACUUUGUUUGGACUCUAAUUCCAAAUGCCUGUCCACCUGGACUUUUAAAGUGAUCUGUCAUAGGGCAAACCCCAUGUUAGCCCUGAAAAGAUGAAAUUCAAGACAGCACAGUUGGAUUAAAAAGAAAACUAUCAUGAGAAGCAUCACAUGAGACUUCCUACAUGAGGAGUCAAGAGAAGAUGCAGAGUCAGAAGAUCACCAACAGGAAUCACAGAAUGGUUUGGAUCAAAGACUAUCUCAUUCCACCCCCUGCCAUGGGCAGGGACACCUGGGACAUUCCCAGGUUGCUCCAACCUGGCCUUGGACACUUCCAGGGAUGGGGCAGUCACAGCUUCUAUAAUGCUUAAAUGCACAUCAGAACCUUGCUGCUGAAACUGUAAUUGAAACAGUAAUAGAGUAAAUCCCUGAACAUGUUUUUUAAUAAACAGGAAUCUACUGCCUCUCAAA
Vidua macroura (Pin-tailed whydah) is the source of this 2789-nucleotide long non-coding RNA. RefSeq lists it as uncharacterized. The transcript is spliced from 2 exons. NCBI's taxonomy places the organism in Eukaryota, Metazoa, Chordata, Aves, Passeriformes, Viduidae. The record is from RefSeq and is a predicted model, not a curated record.